Molecule: long non-coding RNA, 421 nt
Organism: Teleopsis dalmanni
Lineage: Eukaryota; Metazoa; Arthropoda; Insecta; Diptera; Diopsidae
Exons: 4
Source: RefSeq, a predicted model, not a curated record
UUCAGUAAAUAUUAAAAUUCAACUUUUUUGGCCAUUUUAUCAAAAUUGUCAGUAAUUGCAUUAACUUAUAAAAAUAAAUACAUUUUGUAAUUGUGACAAGUAUUAAUAAAUAAUAAAUCAAGGCAGCAAGUGUGAUUUCUACUUGAGAUUCAUCAUAAUAUAUAUUUUUUAUUGGCAUUGUAAAUGGAAAAGACUUACACAAAUACUGGAAAAUAUAUUCAGUAUUCAUUAUCUUCGCUUGUCAGUUACUUCCUUCCUAGUGCAAUCCUAGUGCCUUAACAGAUAAGUGAUUAUCAUCUCUAUGCAGUUAAUUAUUGCAAAUCAUGGAUUGCAUAGAUCUGUUUCUAGCUUCUAGGGCAAUGGAAUACUUUAGUAGUGGUUGGUACGAAUAGCAUUAUACAAUGUAAUACUUCAGAGUUGC